This 301-nucleotide ribosomal RNA is filed under the name uncultured bacterium. RNAcentral's name for it is "partial 16S ribosomal RNA". It matches the Rfam family "Bacterial small subunit ribosomal RNA", at positions 509 to 807 of the family's 1533-position model. The record is from RNAcentral.
CAGCCGCCGCGGGAAUACGAAGGGUGCAAGCGUUAAUCGGAAUUACUGGGCGUAAAGCGUGCGUAGGCGGUGAGUUAAGUCUGCUGUGAAAUCCCCGGGCUCAACCUGGGAAUGGCAGUGGAUACUGGCUCGCUAGAGUGUGUCAGAGGAUGGUGGAAUUCCCGGUGUAGCGGUGAAAUGCGUAGAGAUCGGGAGGAACAUCAGUGGCGAAGGCGGCCAUCUGGGACAACACUGACGCUGAGGCACGAAAGCGUGGGGAGCAAACAGGAUUAGAGACCCCGGUAGUCCCUGUCUCUUAUAC